UUUUUCAAAGUCCUUU
RNAcentral lists this small RNA (16 nucleotides) under Arabidopsis thaliana (thale cress). Its description in RNAcentral is "ATSL253320". Lineage: Eukaryota; Viridiplantae; Streptophyta; Magnoliopsida; Brassicales; Brassicaceae. The record is from RNAcentral.